RNAcentral lists this ribosomal RNA (600 nucleotides) under Triticum aestivum (bread wheat). RNAcentral's name for it is "partial small subunit ribosomal RNA". The record is from RNAcentral. Lineage: Eukaryota; Viridiplantae; Streptophyta; Magnoliopsida; Poales; Poaceae.
AUGAAGGCCAAGACGAAGAUCAGAAAGGCUGCCGACUUCUUGAGGAAGGCUGUGCGGGCGCUGAGGGGCAGGGCCGGCGUCCUCAGGGCGCGGCUCCUCUUCCUCGCCUCGCUCCGCCACAGGACGGCGAUGGUCGGCACCGUGUCGCGCCACCUCCGCGCCCUCAUGCCGGGCCGCCAGAGAGACCCGGUGCACGACCACCGCAAGGCCCUAGCCUUGUCGACGAUGGCGGCGGAGGAGGACGGGCAGGCUGCGAAGCAUGGAGUCGACGUCCCAGGCCUCUCCGGGCUGUUGCAAGAAGUGGUCGGCGACGACGAUGACGGCCACUGCGGCUACCCGGACUGGACGCACUCACUGUUCGACGACGACGAUGACGACUGCAACCUCCAGGAGGGCGACGAUGUUGACGAGGAACGCGGUGGUGGCGCGGAGGCAAUGGAGGAAGAUCAGCUGCCUGACGACGAGCCGUCGGUGAUGGACGUCAUCAGGAGGUGCAGGGAAGGGGACGGAAUGGAGUUCAACAUCGAGGAGGAGAUCGACCACGCCGCUGACAUGUUCAUACGGCGGGUCCGCAGCCGAAUGAGCAACCGGAGCUUCUAG